RNAcentral lists this ribosomal RNA (253 nucleotides) under uncultured Bellilinea sp. Its description in RNAcentral is "partial 16S ribosomal RNA". It matches the Rfam family "Bacterial small subunit ribosomal RNA", at positions 524 to 776 of the family's 1533-position model. Lineage: Bacteria; Bacillati; Chloroflexota; Anaerolineae; Anaerolineales; Anaerolineaceae. The record is from RNAcentral.
CACGUAGGAGGCGAGCGUUAUCCGGAUUUACUGGGCGUAAAGCGCGUGCAGGCGGUUCGGCAAGUUGGAUGUGAAAGCUCCUGGCUCAACUAGGAGAGGUCGUUCAAUACUACCGGACUAGAGAGUGGUAGAGGGAGGUGGAAUUCCGAGUGUAGUGGUGAAAUGCGUAGAUAUUCGGAGGAACACCAGUGGCGAAAGCGGCCUCCUGGACCACUUCUGACGCUCAGACGCGAAAGCUAGGGGAGCAAACGGG